ACCUACGGGGGGCAGCAGUAGGGAAUUUUCGUCAAUGGGCGCAAGCCUGAACGAGCAAUGCCGCGUGAACGAGGAAGGUCUUCGGAUCGUAAAGUUCUGUUGAAGGGGAAAAAGAGCGGAGAGAGGAAAUGGUCUCCGAUUGAUAUUACCCUUCGAGGAAGUCACGGCUAACUACGUGCCAGCAGCCGCGGUAAUACGUAGGUGGCGAGCGUUAUCCGGAAUGAUUGGGCGUAAAGGGUGCGUAGGCGGCCUGCUAAGUCUGGAGUGACAGGUACCGGCUCAACCGGUACAGGCUCUGGAAACUG
Molecule: ribosomal RNA, 305 nt
Filed under: uncultured bacterium
Lineage: Bacteria
Description: bacterial SSU rRNA
Rfam family: Bacterial small subunit ribosomal RNA
Source: RNAcentral